CUACGGGUCGCAGCAGUGAGGAAUAUUGCACAAUGGGGGGAACCCUGAUGCAGCAACGCCGCGUGGAGGAUGACGCAUUUCGGUGUGUAAACUCCUUUUAUAUGUCAAGAAGAUGACGGUAGCAUAUGAAUAAGCACCGGCUAACUCCGUGCCAGCAGCCGCGGUAAUACGGAGGGUGCAAGCGUUACUCGGGAUCACUGGGCGUAAAGGACGCGUAGGCGGGUUGGAAAGUCAGGUGUGAAAUCCUACAGCUUAACUGUAGAACUGCACUUGAAACUUCUAAUCUAGAGUAUGGGAGGGGGAGAUGGAAUUAGUGGUGUAGGGGUAAAAUCCGUAGAUAUCACUAGGAAUACCUAAAGCGAAGGCGAUCUCCUGGAACAUUACUGACGCUAAGGCGUGAAAGCGUGGGGAGCAAACAGGAUUAGAUACCCGUGUAGUC
RNAcentral lists this ribosomal RNA (439 nucleotides) under uncultured bacterium. Its description in RNAcentral is "partial 16S ribosomal RNA". It matches the Rfam family "Bacterial small subunit ribosomal RNA", at positions 339 to 795 of the family's 1533-position model. The record is from RNAcentral.